Molecule: long non-coding RNA, 872 nt
Organism: Trichoplusia ni (cabbage looper)
Lineage: Eukaryota; Metazoa; Arthropoda; Insecta; Lepidoptera; Noctuidae
Exons: 3
Source: RefSeq, a predicted model, not a curated record
CAGUGUUUCAUUAAUUAUUAUGAGCCAUGUAAACCACAUAGUUAUUUAUGGAAAACUUCAUACAUAUAACAUGUGACCUCCUUUAAAUUAGGACUAUAUUUUGAAUCCUCAUUUGUUUUUAUGUCAAUUUUUGUCCGUCAUUACAAAAACGUUAUUUUUCUGCCAAAUCAUGCUUACCUCGGAACUUUAAUAAAGAAGUUAAGAAAAGGUAAUUAUGAGAUGCCCUAAAAGAUUUUGUAUCGUCUGUCAAAUCCAUACCGGUAAAAGUUGUGAAAGACUUUUACCAUCACGAUAAACCAGUAAAAUUAAUUCUGAAUACUGUGAAAAAACACAAUAGUGAAAAUUUCGGGCAAAAAAUAAGCUCGCAAAUAAUUUCGUACAAUUCAGUUGCUUGGCGUUAUGAAGAAGUUUUCCAAAACAUGUUAUCCCGGAUCAAUUGGCACGUUACUGAGCUAGCCUUGAAGUGGUAAUAAGUUGGGAUCCAAGGGUGUUUUAUAUUUUGGAAUUCGGAUCUCGUGCUCACAUCACGCGCGGAGCUAACAUGACGAAUUGGGGCGCGUUGCGGUCUGCACGUCUGGCGAUCUCCAUAUCAAAUAUAAACGCAUUUGGCACAUAUGCCUUGUAGAUCACAUACUAAUAUCUAAAGAAUUUUAAUAUUAUUAUUAGCUGUAGCAGCUUUAUAAAAAAAUUCAGACGAAUGAUGGUACUACGUAAACACGUCAACUGAAAGAGAAAAAAUAACUAUUCAAAUCGGACUGAUAAAUUGCUGGCGUUGCGUAAUAUGGUCAAGCAAGUUGCGGAACAGAAACUAGUAGAAAAUGAGCAUUUUUAAAUAUAUUUUUAUGGUUCACCUUUCAUAUAUGUACAGCAUA